Molecule: microRNA precursor, 60 nt
Filed under: Homo sapiens (human)
Lineage: Eukaryota; Metazoa; Chordata; Mammalia; Primates; Hominidae
Description: miAB34_pre
Source: RNAcentral
CAGGAACACAGGAAAUAAAGUGCUUUGACUAUUUUAAUCUCUAUUUCUUGUGUUCCCUGC